AUAAAGGGCCUUCUGACUGCUGUAAAAAGCUUUUAACACAAAUACGAUGGAAAGCCACCAGAGAUGUAUGAGUGGAGACAGGCACAAUCUGACUUAUAUUUGAAAUGGAUUGCUCUGGCACUGCGGACAGAAAACUGUGUAAACGUAUUUUCUCACAGUCCUGGAGGCUGGAGUCAGAGAUCAGGGUGCCAGCCUGGCUGGGUUCUGGUGGGGGCCCUCUUCCAGGCUUGCUCAUGACUGCCUUCUCUCACUGUGUCUCUCCCGUUGUUUGAGCCACAAAAUCUGUGGUAUUUUAUUAUCACAACCUGAGCUGCCUAGACAGGAUGUUAAGACUAGAUGAUCCGGGGAUCUCUUUUGGCUCCAAUAUUGCACAAUUUGAUGUAAUAUUUGAUAAUUUCUGUCUAAUUUUGUAAAAUUUCAUGCUAGCAAUGGAACUAAAGAAGUCUUUGUUUUAGAAUAUCCUUCUGAGAGUUAGGAAUGUAGAUCCAGGCUCCUUGGCUGUUUAGCAUCUCAGGCUGCAUUGUGAUAAGGAAGCAGACAGAAGAACUGGUAUCAAAGCCAAGUGUUUAUCCAAAUUCUACAUUAAGAAUAUAACGUUUUCAGUGAAGGUUUUUGUAGAUGUGAAAAAAGAGUACAUGUGAAAAGUAAGAAAAAGAAAGCCAACAACUGAAAUCUUCCAGGAUAACACCAAAAAAAGUGUUCCAACCUUGGCUUGGCUACAUGGAACACAGAAGGCAUCUACCAUGGUACCAAGGCAUGAAACAGAUGAGCCAGGACUCCCCAGCCCUUCAAUCAGCAGGUGGGCUGCAGCCACACAAAGGCUCACCACCUGAGGAACGACGUCUUGGCUGCAGGGUAACUUACUGAGUGUGGAUGAGCACGUGCUGCUUGAGGUCCUGCCUCCGCAUAAACAACUUGUCACAGUAAUCACACUUAAGAUUCUUCUCCCCAGUGUGGAUAACCAUGUGGGACUCCAGGUGAGCCUUCUGGGUGAAAGACUUGUCACACAAGGUACACCUGUAGUUCUUCUGACCUGCAAUCAGCCCAAAGUAUUACACCGUGAAGAAAACAACUGCUGGCAUCCCCAAGACACACAGGCACACAUAUGUGCAUGCAGCAGAGGCAGGAAUGAAACAGAGCUGACUGGACAAGUUUCCUAUUCAGUGCAUAAGAGAAACACUAAUGAAAAAUUGGCUGGGUAUGGUAGUUCACGCCUGUAAACCCAGCAGUUUGGGAGGCUGAGAAGGGAGGAUCACUUGAGUCCAGGAGUUCAAGACCAGCCUGGGGUAACACAGUGAGAUCCCAUCUGUUUAAAAAAAAUUAAAAAUAAUAAUAAAAGAAAA
RNAcentral lists this long non-coding RNA (1343 nucleotides) under Homo sapiens (human). RNAcentral describes it as "PRDM4 antisense RNA 1". Lineage: Eukaryota; Metazoa; Chordata; Mammalia; Primates; Hominidae. The record is from RNAcentral.